GUAUACAUCGAUGCCAUUGUAAUGGCGCACCGGUUCUCCUCCGACCACCGCAGUUAAGCAACGUUGGGCCCGAUCAGUACUUGCAUGGGUGACAGGCUGGGAAUACCGGUUGUCACC
Schistosoma mattheei is the source of this 117-nucleotide non-coding RNA. The record is from Rfam. Lineage: Eukaryota; Metazoa; Platyhelminthes; Trematoda; Strigeidida; Schistosomatidae.